GGGCCCGCACAAGCGGUGGAGUAUGUGGUUUAAUUCGAUGAUACCCGUAGAACCUUACCUGGACUUGACAUAUAGGGAAAAACUAAAGAAAUUUAGUGUGCGUAAGCGCCCUAUACAGGUGGUGCAUGGCUGUCGUCAGCUCGUGUCGUGAGAUGUUGGUUAAGUCCCGCAACGAGCGCAACCCACGUCUUUAGUUGCCAGCAUUUAGUUGGGCACUCUAGAGAGACCGCCGGUGAUAAACCGGAGGAAGGUGUGGAUGACGUCAAGUCAUCAUGCCCCUUACAUCCUGGGCUACACACGUACUACAAUGCUACGGACAAAGGGCAGCAAGUUCGCGAGGACAAGCAAA
RNAcentral lists this ribosomal RNA (349 nucleotides) under uncultured bacterium. Its description in RNAcentral is "bacterial SSU rRNA". It matches the Rfam family "Bacterial small subunit ribosomal RNA", at positions 917 to 1271 of the family's 1533-position model. The record is from RNAcentral.